RNAcentral lists this ribosomal RNA (460 nucleotides) under uncultured bacterium. RNAcentral's name for it is "partial 16S ribosomal RNA". It matches the Rfam family "Bacterial small subunit ribosomal RNA", at positions 338 to 795 of the family's 1533-position model. The record is from RNAcentral.
GCUACGGGUGGCAGCAGUGAGGAAUAUUGGUCAAUGGGCGUGCGCCUGAACCAGCCAAGUCGCGUGAGGGAAGACUGCCCUAUGGGUUGUAAACCUCUUUUGUCAGGGAGCAACGGAGGCCACGUGUAGCCUGACUGAGAGUACCUGAAGAAAAAGCAUCGGCUAACUCCGUGCCAGCAGCCGCGGUAAUACGGAGGAUGCGAGCGUUAUCCGGAUUUAUUGGGUUUAAAGGGUGCGUAGGCGGAAUGCCAAGUCAGCGGUAAAAGCGCGGGGCUCAACCCCGCUCCGCCGUUGAAACUGGCGGUCUUGAGUGGGCGAGAAGUAUGCGGAAUGCGCGGUGUAGCGGUGAAAUGCAUAGAUAUCGCGCAGAACUCCGAUUGCGAAGGCAGCAUACCGGCGCCCAACUGACGCUGAAGCACGAAAGCGUGGGUAUCGAACAGGAUUAGAUACCCUAGUAGUC